Molecule: ribosomal RNA, 253 nt
Filed under: uncultured prokaryote
Description: partial 16S ribosomal RNA
Rfam family: Bacterial small subunit ribosomal RNA
Source: RNAcentral
GACGGAGGGUGCAAGCGUUGUUCGGAUUGACUGGGCGUAAAGGGCGUGUAGGCGGUUGGUUAAGUCGGGUGUGAAAGCCUGAGGCUCAGCCUCAGAAGUGCAUCCGAAACUAGCCAGCUGGAGCGCGAUAGAGGAGGGUGGAAUUCCUGGUGUAGCGGUGAAAUGCGUAGAUAUCGGAAGGAAUACCUGUGGUGUAGACGGCUCUCUGGACCAUAACUGACGCUGAGACACGAAAGCGUGGGUAGCAAACAGG